This 414-nucleotide ribosomal RNA is filed under the name uncultured microorganism. RNAcentral describes it as "bacterial SSU rRNA". It matches the Rfam family "Archaeal small subunit ribosomal RNA", at positions 459 to 872 of the family's 1478-position model. The record is from RNAcentral.
CAGCCGCCGCGGUAAUACCGGCGGCCCGAGUGGCGGUCACUAUUAUUGGGCUUAAAGCGUCCGUAGCCGGGUUGGGAAGUCCUCCGGGAAAUCUGGCCGCUUAACGGUCAGAAUGCCGGAGGAUACUCCCAGCCUAGGGAGCGGGGGAGGCCGAGGGGAUUCCCGGGGUAGGGGUGAAAUCCUAUAAUCCCGGGAGGACCACCUGUGGCGAAGGCGCUCGGCUGGAACGCGUCCGACGGUGAGGGACGAAGGCCAGGGGAGCAAACCGGAUUAGAUACCCGGGUAGUCCUGGCUGUAAACGAUGCGGACUUUGUGUCGGACAAGCUAUGAGCUUGUCCGGUGCCGGAGGGAAACCGUUAAGUCCGCCGCCUGGGGAGUACGGCCGCAAGGCUGAAACUUAAAGGAAUUGGCGGG